This 406-nucleotide ribosomal RNA is filed under the name uncultured bacterium. RNAcentral describes it as "partial 16S ribosomal RNA". It matches the Rfam family "Bacterial small subunit ribosomal RNA", at positions 30 to 526 of the family's 1533-position model. The record is from RNAcentral.
AUUGAACGCUGGCGGCAGGCCUAACACAUGCAAGUCGAACGAGUGGCGGACGGGUGAGUAAUGUCUGGGAAACUGCCUGAUGGAGGGGGAUAACUACUGGAAACGGUAGCUAAUACCGCAUACCAUCAGAUGUGCCCAGAUGGGAUUAGCUAGUUGGUGGGGUAACGGCUCACCAAGGCGACGAUCCCUAGCUGGUCUGAGAGGAUGACCCGCCACACGGGGACUGAAAGACGGUCCGGACUCCUACGUGAGGCAGCGGUGGGGAAUAUUGCACGAUGGGCGCAAGCCUGAUGCAGCCGUGCCGCGUGUAGGAAGAAGGCCUUCGGGUUGUAAAGUACUUUCAGCAGGGAGGCGUUACCCGCAGAAGAAGCACCGGCUACCUCGGGGCCAGCAGCCGCGGUAAUUC